Bombardia bombarda is the source of this 106-nucleotide non-coding RNA. The record is from the annotation of a GenBank genome assembly. NCBI's taxonomy places the organism in Eukaryota, Fungi, Ascomycota, Sordariomycetes, Sordariales, Lasiosphaeriaceae.
GCCCGGCUGGCGCAAUGGUAGCGCGCAAGACUUCUAUUCUUUGGAAAAUAAAGAAGUUUGCCAAAAAUCAAUCUUGAGGCUGUGGGUUCGAGUCCCACGUCGGGUG